Aegilops tauschii subsp. strangulata is the source of this 3280-nucleotide long non-coding RNA. RefSeq lists it as uncharacterized. NCBI's taxonomy places the organism in Eukaryota, Viridiplantae, Streptophyta, Magnoliopsida, Poales, Poaceae. The record is from RefSeq and is a predicted model, not a curated record.
AACCAUCGAUCUCUUUUCUCAAACACAAAGUCAAUCUGGUUAGACCUCCUACCUAUCGAUACCCCUUCCCCCACCCUUCGUACGUUAAAAAAAAUCUCUAUUAUUAAAGGAGAAUCGAAUGUCGUGAUGGUUCGACCUCCUACCUAUCGAUACCCUUUCCCCCACCCUUCGUACGUUAAAAAAAAAAUCAGAAAAACUACCCACCGCUUCGAAAAAACAGCGCAGAGAAAGGAAAGAAAAACAGAGCCCACGACCCACCGACGAACACACGUCCCAUCCUCCAUCUCCCCUCACCCCAAAGAAAAGAGAAACAGCCCAACCAAUCUCUCCGCUCUCGAGAAAUUCGCCGCCGCUGCUCCCCUCAUCGUCCUCUCCUGGUCGUCGUGGUUGCGGUCCUGGCCGUGGACGUCGCCGCCGGCCCCGCACUCCCAUCUGCAUGAGGAUCAUCUAUUCUCCGUCUCAAUUCCCUCCACCCCGCUCGAUUCCAAUCUAAUCUCUCCCGAGAAACUUCACUCGACUCGGCCGUGGCGAAGAUGGCCGGCGGCUCGCCGUCUGGCUUUCUCGCUGUUGAGCCCUGUUCCGCCUCCGCCCUCCACCCACUUGGCUCCAAGACGUCUUCCGCGGCCGUCAGCUUCCACGAUUUGGGUUUGUGGCAGGCGUGAACUAUGCGAGGAGGGUCCGGGGUGUGCGUCCUCUAUGUGAAUUCGACGGGUCGUCUUCAUCGCAGGCGGCCAUGGGGAGGACACAUGUGGCGGAGCAGAUGGGGUACGAGGACGCGUAGAAGGCAAACAGCUCAGACUUAAGCCCUUUGCCCCCGUCAGGACUCUGUCACAGGUGCGUGCAUCUCGAUCCUUUCCUUCGUUCUGGUCGGUUAAUUAAGUGCCCGUGAACCAAUAUUCCUCUUGGCGCGCUUUCGGCCGAUGGCAAAACGAACACAGAGCAAACCUGGCUUGUCUUGGGAUGGACUGAAUCAGCUAACAACGUAGCUAGCUAGCUUUGCCUUGAGAUGGAUCCAGUCGAUGGAUUGAUUGGUCGACUAGCAGGUGGAUUCUGUUGAUGGACUAGCUAGCAACACACACGCACACACUGGCAUGUAACGCUAUUUGCUGUUUAUACUUCUUCAACUCACGUUGAUACAACCUAGGAGCUACAUGUAUCACCUGGCUAGGUAGAGUUACGAUUACUGCUCAAAGAAAAGUAGACUUAUGAUUUCUAUACUACUUUGACAAGCAAUCGUUGGUGAACUCUAACAAUCUGCUCAAAGAAAAGUAGUAGUUCCUUUUAUUGUCCCAGUUGUUAUUUCUACCUUGCUCUGAUGUAUAAGAUACUCCAUAUAGGAGGUCAAGCUUGAAAAAUGUAUAAUACCCGACUUGUCGAGAAUCAUGUUAAUAAAGCUGUCAUGAUAUUUUCCCUGCUUCAAAGUGCUCCCUGAGGUAUUAGUUAACGGUAGUCUGUAUUGAUUUUUUUGUACAGAAUUUGACCAUUUGUGCAGGCUUUGGUUCGUGAUGGAUCGACCUUAAAGUCUUAAUGAUUACCCUUUCCAACAAGCAACAGUGGGGUUGUUCUGCUCAAUCCUGCUAUUUUUUUAGUCCAUUAAUUUGUAUGUGUUCUUCGCCUAAGAGAUUUUAUUAAUUUCGGUUGGGUUCUAAUUAGAGAUGCAUAUAAAUAACUUUGUUCUGGUUUUCAUAAAAGUAAUAUGGCACACACCUAGAAGGUUAUUGAUUAUACGCUGCAACCCAUUUUAUUAAGUUGGGUUUUCUUGACACCAUUUUCUAUUGCAGGCUACUGAAUAUAUACAGUUCUUGCAAGAGAACGAACAUAAGUGUAUUUGGGUGAGGCACCAGAUACAACAUCUCACUUUUCGUUUUGGAAAUUAUCUUUAUUUAACUCCAAGAGGUCACCAGCUGAAGGUUGUGUUUGGCAAUGGAAUAGUAAUUUGGCUGCUGAGGUAUCAAGGUAAGGACAAAAAUAUUUCCCAUUUUUAUUUAUUUCUAUGGUUGUCAUAGUCUAUUUUAAGCCCGUAUUAUUUUUGGUGAUUGCGAAAUGUAUUCAACUGCAUGAAGAAAUAGAAGAUAAAUCUUGUUUCAAACUUUGAGUGUAUACUGAAGUUACAUGAAGCCUUCGGCACUCCUUUUUAGUUAUUGCUGAUUUAGUUAAAGUACUAAAUCAACGACAACUAAUAUCAAACAGAGGGAGUAUAUUAUGACCUCCUCUUAACUUGCCUUUAGUAACAAACAUGAUAGUACCAAAAUUAGUUCUAGGAGGAUAGUACUAAAACUCUCGUGCCAUUGAAAAACUAUUGAGAAAUUUUAAUUUAUUGCAUAGUGCAGGCGGAAAAAGUUUAAUUCACCCCGAGAAGAGCCCUUCGAGAACAAUUGUUUUGGACUUUUGUGGUACUCUCAAGUGAGGGGUCUUUUGUGGUCUUGCUAAUAUAGAUAAACCAUAACCAUAUUUAUAUGAUUCUCAACAUCCUUGGAGCGAAAGACAGUAACUGCAUAAUGAAGUUUAAAUCAUAUUCAUUUGUUUGUUUCAGUGAUGAGUUUUUCUUUUGUUUGCUUCUUUGACCAGUUUGUAACCAGUCUUCUGGAUCAGAGUAACUGAAAGUUGAUGUGUAAUAUUAGGGCUGUGAUUGCAGUGUAUCAAAUGGGCUAAUUUUUAUAUUUGACUCAUCACAUAUAGAAUUUGUAUUUUUUUAAAUCAGGAACAAAUAUAGUUUAAGUAUUUUGAAGUGAGAUGUGCUUUUUCAGUUGUUUGCCACAUGGUUUGUUUCAAGAUGGGAUAAUAAAUUGGUAAAAAUCACUUUCCUUUGUUGGUACCAAUACCAAUGCCACCAAGUGCAGUCAUAUUGACGACAGUCAAAUAGCCUUGCAGAAUGGACAAUGUUCAAAGAUAGCAAUCAUUAUGUUGUGUCUAGAUAUGAGUGGAAAACGUGCUACGUGUGUACUGCUACUACACCGGCCCAAGUACUUAUGUACAGUUCCUCCUGAAUUCAGACACUAAGAAGCUAAGCUUUUGGAAAUGAAUCUACUUAUCCAAGAGGCUGGCAACAAGAUCGGAUGUUCAAUAACUAGUGGAGCAACACUCGAUUGACAGGAAACUAUGAGCAUGCUACCUACUUUCUAAUUUUCUUGCAUGCAGCGAAUUGACUUCCCAAAGAACUACAUGGAAGGGAUAUAUGUUUGAUUUGUUUUGAAUUGAUUGCAAGAAAUACAUGUAUGGCACAUACAACUCUAUUCUCAAAACAUAUAUGAAUGAAAAUUUAUUUGAUUUUUUUUAGCAA